Molecule: ribosomal RNA, 468 nt
Filed under: uncultured bacterium
Lineage: Bacteria
Description: partial 16S ribosomal RNA
Rfam family: Bacterial small subunit ribosomal RNA
Source: RNAcentral
GACGAACGCUGGCGGCGUGCUUAAUACAUGCAAGUCGAACGGAAAGGCCCUGCUCUUGUUCGGUGCUCGUGUGGCGCACGGGUGUGUAAAACGUGUGUAACCCCCCCCUGACUUUCUGGUAUCUUCAGGGAACUGGGGCUAAUAUCAGAUAGGAGCUCCUGCUGCAUGGUGGGGGUUGGAAGGUUUCGGCGGUUGGGGAUGGACUGGCGGCUUAUCAGCUUGUUGGUGGGGUAGUGGCUUACCAAGGCUUUGACGGGUAGGCGGCCUGGGCGGGUUAACGGGCACAUGGGGACUAAGAGACGGAGCAGACGCCUAUGGUAGGCAGCAGGGGAGAAUAUGGCGCAGUGAGGGGGAGCCUGAGGCAGCAGCGUCGGGAGCGGGAUGACGGGCUACGGGGGAUAAACCGCUUUCGCCUGUGACGAAGCGUGAGUGACGGUAAUGAGUAAGAAAGCACCGGCUAACUACGUG